UGGCAGGCUUCCUUCACACUUCUCAGCACAGGCGGUAGAGUUGAUUGCACUUGCCGAGACAUCAAGGACGGCAGCCACCCGGAGAACAGCGAUAAAAGACAGAUCUCCAGCGCCAAAGAACACUUAGGAAGCAUGGUUGGAGCCUGAGAAUGAACAUGUGUUUAUCACUAUCACUGGCCACAUUUGUGCUGAUCCCACUCACGAUCAAUGAGCUACGACCUCCCUAUGUGAACACCACAGAUUCCGGCCUUCUCCACGCUCCAAUAGAGAAUUUCAGGAAGUUUCCACUGUCCAGCAAAACAAUGCGACAAGACAGAGUGUUUGCUCUACACAAUCGAACAUGAUGCAUGGGUUAAAAUAGAAAGUUACGUAAAUGAAAUUGUGUGUGUUGCCGGGUUGGGAGAUGAAUAUGUACUGUGGGGGGAAGAGUUUUGAUUUAGCAGAUCCACCAUUCUGGUGCAGUAAACCACGAUCGUGUCAGGAGAUACCAGCCCACACUGGCUCCAGCAACUGGAGGGAGGCAUGCAAAAGAACUUACCAGCCUGUCAGCGAGACACAACCUAAAACAGUACCACAUGAAA
This is a long non-coding RNA of Gasterosteus aculeatus aculeatus (three-spined stickleback), 581 nucleotides long. Lineage: Eukaryota; Metazoa; Chordata; Actinopteri; Perciformes; Gasterosteidae. The record is from Ensembl.